Molecule: ribosomal RNA, 492 nt
Filed under: uncultured bacterium
Lineage: Bacteria
Description: partial 16S ribosomal RNA
Rfam family: Bacterial small subunit ribosomal RNA
Source: RNAcentral
GGGGGGGGGGGGGGGGGGGGCGGGGGGGGGCGGGGCGGGGGGCGGCGCGGUGAGGGCGGGCGCGUGCGGGUGGCGAGUGGCGGACGGGUGAGGAGUGCCGCGGGCUGUCCUGUUUCGGGGGGGCUAACGUCGUGCCCCUUGCGCUCAUACCGCAUACGACCUCCGGGGGACCUCAGGGGCUCUUCGCCCCUUGCGCUCUUGCAUGCGCCGAUGUCGGAUUAGCCCGUUGGCGUGGUAAAGGCCCACCAAGGCGACGAUCCGUAGCUGGUCUGAGAGGAUGAGCAGCCACACUGGAACUGAGACACGGUCCAGACUCAUACGGGAGGCAGCAGUGGGGAAUAUUGGACAAUGGGCGCAAGCCUGAUCCAGCCAUACCGCGUGGGUGAAGAAGGCCUUCGGGUUGUAAAGCCCUUUUGUUGGGAAAGAAAAGCAGCAGGUUAAUACCCCGCUGUUCUGACGGUACCCAAAGAAUAAGCACCGGCUAACUUCGUG